UACGACAUAGUGAUUAGCAGCAUGAGGUGCUGAGCACAUCGCGUGUGUGUCUGUAUGUGUGCGCUGAUAUGUGGUUCAUGAGGAACAAACUGAUUAAGCAUGCUCCAAAGCUACGAGUGACUGAACUAGGUAUCUUUUCUAUUUUCAUGGUGAAGCCUGGUUUUAACUGCUAAAGAAUAGCAGGAGAUGGAAUCAUUGAAAUAUAAUCAAUUCUUAAGUAAAUGAACUGAGACUUGAUGGUUGUGUGUUAUUGGUACAAUAUGUAUUUUGGGCCUGAAUUGUGAAGCAAAUCGAGAAUUCCUGGUUACUUAUUAUUAGUAUAGUAUACCUUUUUUGGGCCUGAAUUCUGAACCUUGCUGAUUUUUUUGGUAGUGUGUUAUCAGUGUAUAUGCAUUUUUGGCCUGAAUCCUUAACCUUAUCUAGGUAUUGAUUUUCUGCAAUCAGUGAAGCACUCAUGGUCAUGCGUAUUUGUUAGUCUACAUUACUUAUAGAUUUAGUUGUUUUGAUAUGUAUCCAUUCGUCGGUUAGUUAACUGAAAUUUGUUGGCAGUGGUUCUUUAUGUUCUUUAACUGUUAUACAGAAGCAGCGGACUGAAACAUUUAAAAACAAUCAGCUCUUUAUGAAUUAACUAAAGACUUGAUGGUUGCGUUAUUAUUAUAGUAUAUACAUUUUUGGGCU
This 678-nucleotide long non-coding RNA is filed under the name Triticum aestivum (bread wheat). RNAcentral's name for it is "long non-coding RNA (TAES_LNC010140)". Lineage: Eukaryota; Viridiplantae; Streptophyta; Magnoliopsida; Poales; Poaceae. The record is from RNAcentral.